AACGUAGGACACAAGCGUUAUCCGGAGUUACUGGGCGUAAAGGGCGUGUAGGCGGGCCGGAAAGUCGGGCGUGAAAGCCCUGGGCUCAACCCAGGAACUGCACUCGAAACUUCCGGUCUAGAGUGGUGGAGAGGGAAGUGGAAUUCCUGGUGUAGAGGUGAAAUUCGUAGAUAUCAGGAGGAACACCAGUGGCGAAGGCGGCUUCCUGGACACCAACUGACGCUGAGACGCGAAAGCGUGGGGAGCAAACAGG
Molecule: ribosomal RNA, 253 nt
Filed under: uncultured bacterium
Lineage: Bacteria
Description: partial 16S ribosomal RNA
Rfam family: Bacterial small subunit ribosomal RNA
Source: RNAcentral